This 492-nucleotide ribosomal RNA is filed under the name uncultured bacterium. Its description in RNAcentral is "partial 16S ribosomal RNA". It matches the Rfam family "Bacterial small subunit ribosomal RNA", at positions 30 to 507 of the family's 1533-position model. The record is from RNAcentral.
AUUGAACGCUGGCGGCAUGCUUUACACAUGCAAGUCGAACGGUAACAGGCCUUCGGGUGCUGACGAGUGGCGAACGGGUGAGUAAUGCAUCGGAACGUGCCCAGAGGUGGGGGAUAACGCAGCGAAAGCUGUGCUAAUACCGCAUGUGAUCUGAGGAUGAAAGCGGGGGACCAGGCAGCAAUGUUUGGCCUCGCGCCUUUGGAGCGGCCGAUGUCAGAUUAGGUAGUUGGUGGGGUAAAGGCCUACCAAGCCGACGAUCUGUAGCUGGUCUGAGAGGACGACCAGCCACACUGGGACUGAGACACGGCCCAGACUCCUACGGGAGGCAGCAGUGGGGAAUUUUGGACAAUGGGCGCAAGCCUGAUCCAGCAAUGCCGCGUGCGGGAAGAAGGCCUUCGGGUUGUAAACCGCUUUUGUCAGGAACGAAAAGGUUUUGGCUAAUACCUGGGGCUGAUGACGGUACCGUAAGAAUAAGCACCGGCUAACUACGUG